GAUGAAGAACGCAGCGAAAUGCGAUAAGUAAUGUGAAUUGCAGAAUUCAGUGAAUCAUCGAAUCUUUGAACGCACAUUGCGCCCGCCAGCAUUCUGGCGGGCAUGCCUGUUCGAGCGUCAUUUCAACCCUCAAGCUCUGCUUGGUGUUGGGGCCCUACGGUUGACGUAGGCCCUUAAAGGUAGUGGCGGACCCUCUCGGAGCCUCCUUUGCGUAGUAACUAACGUCUCGCAUUGGGAUUCGGAGGGACUCUUGCCGUAAAACCCCCAAAUUUUCUAAUGGUUGACCUCGGAUCAGGUAGGAAUACCCGCUGAACUUAAGCAUAUCAAUAAGCGGAGG
Molecule: unclassified non-coding RNA, 337 nt
Filed under: soil metagenome
Description: partial contains 5.8S ribosomal RNA, internal transcribed spacer 2, and large subunit ribosomal RNA
Rfam family: 5.8S ribosomal RNA (bases 1-120)
Source: RNAcentral